GCAUUACGAUCUUCUAAUUUCAGGAAACCUUGUGGAAGAGGACCAACAAAAGCCUAAAAUCAAAAUGAGGAAACAAUAUACAUAGUAACAUCUGCAUAUACCUAAAUUGCAAAUAAGGAUCGGAGUAAUUAAUGACUCAUAAGUAACAAGCAUAAAUACAUUUCUGAGUACGUCGUCCGGUACAUUUCUACUGGAAUUACAGAGUGCCCUUGCAGCACUGUGAGAGAAAAUCACU
Long non-coding RNA from Polistes dominula (European paper wasp), 235 nucleotides. RefSeq lists it as uncharacterized. Lineage: Eukaryota; Metazoa; Arthropoda; Insecta; Hymenoptera; Vespidae. The record is from RefSeq and is a predicted model, not a curated record.